GGAGGGGUGGCCGAGUGGCCGAAGGCGGCGGUUUGCUAAACCGUUAAAGGGGGAUAACCCCUUUCGUGGGUUCGAAUCCCAUCCCCUCCG
RNAcentral lists this transfer RNA (90 nucleotides) under Teichococcus deserti. Its description in RNAcentral is "Roseomonas deserti tRNA". It matches the Rfam family "tRNA". From Rfam's summary of the family: Transfer RNA (tRNA) molecules are approximately 80 nucleotides in length. Their secondary structure includes four short double-helical elements and three loops (D, anti-codon, and T loops). Further hydrogen bonds mediate the characteristic L-shaped molecular structure. tRNAs have two regions of fundamental functional importance: the anti-codon, which is responsible for specific mRNA codon recognition, and the 3' end, to which the tRNAs corresponding amino acid is attached (by aminoacyl-tRNA synthetases). tRNAs cope with the degeneracy of the genetic code in two manners: having more than one tRNA (with a specific anti-codon) for a particular amino acid; and 'wobble' base-pairing, i.e. permitting non-standard base-pairing at the 3rd anti-codon position. The record is from Rfam by way of RNAcentral. RNAcentral also lists the same sequence under 2 other names. Lineage: Bacteria; Pseudomonadati; Pseudomonadota; Alphaproteobacteria; Acetobacterales; Roseomonadaceae.